Molecule: long non-coding RNA, 997 nt
Organism: Bactrocera neohumeralis
Lineage: Eukaryota; Metazoa; Arthropoda; Insecta; Diptera; Tephritidae
Exons: 3
Source: RefSeq, a predicted model, not a curated record
UUAUUAAAUGUGUUAAAAAAUUUGUAUGAAGGAACAAGUAUUUACUUUCCGGGCGAAACAAGUACCAAUAGAGGGGAUCAUCCUUGUACAAUGAAAUCGAAUCAUCGAUUGCAAUAUCUUUAAGUUGCAGAUUUCUUUGGAAUCAAUGUAUAAUGGAUUCAGUUCAGAGAUAAAGUGGCCACCGCAAAACGCCUUUUUUGAGAGGAGCUCCCGGAGAUCAGCUGUAGUUCCUUUCCGAAUAAAUAUUUUUACUUAUACUAAGUCUUGAAGUACAGUUAUAUACUAUGCAUUUAAAAGUUUUCUCAGAAAAAAACUCUCGAAAAAAUUGCUUAUUUCGGCCUUGUAACUGUGUAUAACCACUUAAAGAUACUCAAGUGUUUGCUGAAUUGACCUUAAAAACGGCGAAAGCCUAUAGAACCGUUGCUAUAUUGUGUUCUAUUGUUCUUAUUCAAUUUCUUUGCUUUUGUUUUUGAAUAUUAUCAAAUACAGUGUCUUACCUGAACUCCUGACCAUUUCGCAUCGAUUAAUUGACCGUUCCUCAGCGUUUUCGAUCUUCUAUUAUUCACCUGGGAAUCCGACAGAUGGCGUUGCUGCAAGGUGCAAUUGAAGGCGUCAUAAAGUUCAAGAACGAGGCGAGCGUACGUGCCGUUCCGUUACAAAUCUUUCAUUUCGUUCUUCAUAAUAUUUUGCAUGAGAUGAGUGAAGCUGGCUCAAUCGGACAAUUCACAAAGGACAUUGAGUUGGUUUCCGAUGAUCUAUGUAGAAACAACCUAUCUUCUUAUUAAGGUCUUUAGUCCCAGCGAUGAAAAAAAGAAUUCAAAUGGUAAAGAACUGAAAGACCGACUAAGGGCAAACAAUUUCCCGAAUUUGUAAUGAAACUAGUACAAUGUAAAUACUUAGAUAAUGGGUUAUAAUAAUGAUAAUAAUUCAUGUUUUUAUUUUUAUUUAUUGGCGCACAUUCAGCAUUUAUAUAAGAAACAUAUGUACUAUGGGUAAC